GGGGGUGCAAGGCACUCGACGGAAGAGCUCUUUGACAAGCUGCAAGCCAAGUUUGAGUCAUACUUGUAAACAGACUCAAAAAACAAGUGUCAACAAUAUUCUUGACACAGCAAAGGAAGUAGCCGCAAGGCUAAAUCCUUUUGCUUCUUUCGCUGGGUACGUACCGGCCGCAAGGCUGGUUGCUUAAGCUAGCGUAAGACAUCUCGGUUCAUUUUCUCGACUGUGAACUAGGGGUGAUAUACCAAUCGAGAUGCUUUCAACCGGUUGCUAACUGGCCUAAGUUGAAUCAAGAUCAAUUAGUUAGAGACGGCUCAAGUCAUAAAACUGAGCUAAGCUUGUAGAUGCUUGACCCAGAACUUUUUCGGACGCGGGUUCGAUUCCCGCCACCUCCACCA
RNAcentral lists this transfer-messenger RNA (395 nucleotides) under bacterium. It matches the Rfam family "transfer-messenger RNA". Rfam says of the family: Bacterial tmRNA, also known as 10Sa RNA or SsrA, is named for its dual tRNA and mRNA-like properties. The record is from RNAcentral.